RNAcentral lists this long non-coding RNA (291 nucleotides) under Nicotiana benthamiana. Its description in RNAcentral is "long non-coding RNA (NBEN_LNC031322)". Lineage: Eukaryota; Viridiplantae; Streptophyta; Magnoliopsida; Solanales; Solanaceae. The record is from RNAcentral.
AGACUCUACCGUCUCAAGAAGCACUUUGAGAAGAUUAAGGAGUAAUUCGCCCACACGAAUUUCGCUAAUUCCGGGCAUUAUCCGGGUCACGCUUCAAGAAAUUUCGAUUAAAAUCUAUAAUUAUGUGUUGUCUAUAUUACAUACAAGUGAUACUAGCUAUUUACUUCCGCUAUUCCUUUCUUUGUUACAACUGAAUUGAUGACUGGUUUAAUUUAGUUGUAUUGUGGAACGCUUCUGUUCAAUUAUGCAAACAAUGGGUUUUUGGAUUUUUAAAGUUUGCUGAUAGUUUGG